GUGUUGUAUGAAAGGAGAGAAGGUAGGCAUUCCCCUUGACGAGAAUGGAAGAGGCCCUCAGGCCUGCACAACACACAUAUAGUUAAGGUUUUACCACCUACUUUGUAGCAUUUAACCAUGUUUUUUC
Molecule: small nuclear RNA, 127 nt
Organism: Lemur catta (Ring-tailed lemur)
Lineage: Eukaryota; Metazoa; Chordata; Mammalia; Primates; Lemuridae
Source: RefSeq, a predicted model, not a curated record